RNAcentral lists this ribosomal RNA (278 nucleotides) under gamma proteobacterium LM2005. RNAcentral describes it as "partial 16S ribosomal RNA". It matches the Rfam family "Bacterial small subunit ribosomal RNA", at positions 162 to 442 of the family's 1533-position model. The record is from RNAcentral. Lineage: Bacteria; Pseudomonadati; Pseudomonadota; Gammaproteobacteria.
GCUAAUACCGCAUGAUGCCUACGGGCCAAAGAGGGGGACCUUCGGGCCUCUCGCGUCAGGAUAUGCCUAGGUGGGAUUAGCUAGUUGGUGAGGUAAGGGCUCACCAAGGCGACGAUCCCUAGCUGGUCUGAGAGGAUGAUCAGCCACACUGGAACUGAGACACGGUCCAGACUCCUACGGGAGGCAGCAGUGGGGAAUAUUGCACAAUGGGCGCAAGCCUGAUGCAGCCAUGCCGCGUGUGUGAAGAAGGCCUUCGGGUUGUAAAGCACUUUCAGUCG